Molecule: transfer RNA, 71 nt
Filed under: Blautia liquoris
Lineage: Bacteria; Bacillati; Bacillota; Clostridia; Lachnospirales; Lachnospiraceae
Description: Blautia sp. LZLJ-3 tRNA-Ala
Rfam family: tRNA
About the family: Transfer RNA (tRNA) molecules are approximately 80 nucleotides in length. Their secondary structure includes four short double-helical elements and three loops (D, anti-codon, and T loops).
Source: RNAcentral
CGGAAUAUAACACCAAUGGCAGGUGUAACGGGUAGCGCCCGUGGUUACAGGUUCGAUUCCUGUUGUUCCGA